GUCACUUAGUUUUGGAAAUUGACGGAGAUCCGACCGUUGGAUGGUAAUGAAAUUUUAGGAUGUUAUCCUAGAGAUAUAUUGUGGACCUCUGGAAGUUAUGGAUUUAAAAUCUGAGUGGCAGAUCUUCCGGAUCGAUCAACAUAGUGACGUAUUUAUAUAAGUUAUAUUCUAUCGAUAUGAAUUCUGAGGUUGGAAUUAAUUAUUGUUUUAGGCGCCGAUCGUCAUGACGCCUUGAUGUGUGGUGCUAGGGAGUUGUAGGGCGAACUCCAGGUGAGUGGGCAGUUUUGUUUUCCGUAUAUAUAUAUACUUGACGUUUCCCAGAAAUUGAAUUGAAAUGAAAAUAUGUUUUAAAAUGAAAUGCAUAUAUGAGUUAUGUGGAAAAACGGGAAGUGAAAUACCAUGCAUAGAAUUGAUAUGAAAAGUAUAUAGAAAUGUGAGUUGAAAUGCCAUGCAUGAAUUAAUAUAUGAUGCAUAUGUAUGAAUUGGUGCGGUGGACGCACAAGUAAGAAUUGAUUUAUGAUGCAUAUGUAUGAAUUGGUGCGGUGGACGCACAUGUAAGAAUUGAUUUAUGAUGCAUAUGUAUGAAAUGGUGCGGUGGACGCACAGAUGAGUAUUUAAUUACUGUUAUGAUGAUGAUGAUAUAUAUUGAGCUCAAAUCCUGCACCAUGGUUUAGUGCUUAUAGUAUUCACCGCAUCGCACGCUCGCCUUGGAUCCAAGUAGAUGCUAGUCGUACAGUCCACGCGGAGUGGGUACGACAGACCAGUCGCGAGAGUGUUAGUGAGAUUCCGACUGGUGGGUGACCUUAGAUUAUGUGCACAGAUGAUUUAUGAGAAGCACUAGAGCGUAACUUGUGUGCAGAAGGCCGGACGGGUCACAGAGGUGACUCCGGUAGAGUGAUAAUGAUAGAUUUUGAGCUCUAGGUUCAACCGUAUAGGGCUAUUAGAGGGCCUACGGUUGAUUACUUUCUUGCACCUGAUAUGAUUAUGUUGAUGCAUUCAUACCUUAUUACUGUUGAGAUGAUGUGGCAUGGCAAUAAUUAAUAUGAGAAAUGUUGAGAUGACAUGGCAUGGCAUGAUUGAUAAAGAGAUAAUGUUGAGAUAGUAAAAAUGAAGUUUUUGAGAAUAUAUAUGUAUAUUUAUAUUUUACAUUUCUGGGAAAGUAUAUACAGGUUUUACGGAGAGGGGUUACAACGUUUUGAGAAAUGUUUGGAUUUGGAAAAGAAUUGUUUUACUGACCCACUCAAUUUUGGUUUUGCGCCCCUCCAGGUUCAGGAAUCACAAAGGUGUGGUGACUACGAGGAAUUCGACGGUGUUCUGACAGAUUGGACAAAAUUAGGACUCACCUUCGGGUGUAUCAACUUAUAAAUUGUAUAAUUAAAGCUUCCGUACUGUGCAAAUGGUUACGUCACUCUCACGUGACGGCCAGCAUGCCCUCCUUCGGGACCGGGUGUGUCAGUUGGUAUCAGAGCAUGGUUGCAAUCUUGGACAUCUUGAGAAGUUUCUAGUGAAUUCUGUCAGAACUACACCGCCUCGUAGCAAACCACGUAGUUAGAGGAACUUAGUCUCCUUGAUUUAGCGGGUUAGGGGAAACUAUUCUUAUGGUGAUUCAGUAUAUUAGAAAAAUGGACAUUUUAAGACGGGUUAUGAGUUGAAUUUGAAUCACUUAAGAGAAAUGAUGAACCUGAGGGAACAAAGUGACGGAUUAACCAAUUGGAAAAGAUGUUUCGGAAUAUGCAAGUCAAAGGAAUCUUCCUUCUGACAAGGGGUCGAGACGACUACCUGGUUUUGGUUAUGAAUUUGUAUCCUGGUGGAAACAGGAGUAUGAAUUGUUGUCACCAGAGGAAUCAGUCGAUUGAGAAUUGUUUAAGGACUUGUUUAAAGGAAAAGUUUAUCCCUCCGGCAUUUAUCGAUGGUAGUAAACAAGAGUUUACAAAUAUGAGACAAGGAAGGUGAUGAUCGAGGGAUAUUAUAGAAAGUUUUCAGACUAGCCUCGUUCCAUCCAGAUAUUGUUGUUAAUUUGGUGGAGGUGUUAUGUUGUUUUAAGCUGGGUGACAAAAGGGAAGUGGUAUUUUGGGUGACCACUAUCCAUUGUAGUUCUUAUCAGGAGUAUGCUAGAUGUUGUUGAAUCUUGAGGACUCUGAGAACAUGAGCAACGAGAAUAAAGAAGAAUAAGAAAUGAAUGGGAAUUAAAAGAAGACGAUAAAGUUAAUGAUUCGUCAUAUCAAGGAUAUAGAAAGAUUCAGAGCUUCGAAAGAAGUGAAGCUAGAGUUAAUUCUUCCAGCUGAGGUUUAAUGUCGCUGGUCAGAAUAAAAGUGAUGGAUAUACUGGUAAUCCCAGAUAUUUGAGACAAGGUGUCUCGAGUAAAGGAAAUGUACCUUGUGCAGCAGGUACAAAAUUAACACUUUGGGAAAUGUGAAAUUAAUGAAUGUGUUUAUGUGAACAGAAGGGACACAGAGUUGUGAAUCGUCCCUAGAAUCAGUUGUACUCAACAAUUUUCCAUGAAAUCAUAGUGUCGAUUCAGCAGAGUUAUGGAUUUAGUAGUUUGGUCGGAUUGACCGUGAGUACAGAGAUAUUUGAUGAGUUAUAUGUUCAGCCGUACGGACCAUGAGAAAUGGAUUUGACUGACACAUGAGAAAUUGGUGAGUUAUAGGCUCGGCCGUGCCGACCACGCGGAGUGGAUCUGGCCGACGUAUUAUUGAGAUAAGAGUUGAAUCAACCGUAUUGGUUAUUCUAGUUGACUUCGGCUGAUAUAUUUCUUAUUAUGUAUGUUAUUACCUAGAGAGUAGUAAAUAAAUGUAGUUGAGACGAGUGUAUGUAUUUUGCAUUGAGUGACAAAAUAGUAAUGUUAUAUCUUUGUGAGUGGUUGCCUACUUAUCGAGACAACGAUGAUUUAUCAGUAUUGCGGGCUGCAGACCGUAAUAUUAAUAACUCAUUCGUGGAUUCGUUAAGCAAGCAAACCGGUAGAUUAUUUUAUGUUAGUAUUGUACUUAUUUGGAAUGCUUAAUAAUAAUAGAAUAUAUAUUGUAUCAGUUAAUUCUGUUCCAUUAGAUUGGUUGGUUAUAAUUGUGACAAGACGAAAUGUUAUGGGAAACCAGUACUUUCCAUCGAUCUGGAUGAACAGAGAUUACUUUUGUAAGUAUGCAAAAUGGAUUGAGUCAGGCUGUUAUUUAUGCUGUGAGAGCAAAGAGAUUGUUUUCGAAAGGCUGUCAAAAAUACUUAGCUCAUGUGGUGCUAAAUGAUGUUGUUUGGAGUAGUGUGAAUAAUGUCAAAAGAGUUCUUGCGGGCCCUGAGACUAUGGAUGAGUCUCCUCAAAGUAUUCAGGUGAUUAAGUUAACCUGAAGUAACCAGGAAUGGCAAAAGAGAUAAUGGCAAAAGAGAUAAUGGCAAAAGAGACUAACAGAUGGAUAUGCCACUAAUCGAGUGUGUAAGGGAAAUGGUUUGAUAUUUUUGGAAAUUUCACCACGAACAGAAAUGGCGAGAAUUGGAAAGGAGACAAGAUAAGAUUUAGACACAUCAGACCAUUUUUUAUCACUAAAGGAAUCAAUAAAGUUGCAUACAAGUGGUGAUGUCUUCAGAGUUGGCUAAGGUACUUAAUGUAUUUUGGGUUCGAUGCGUUGUCACUAGGUGGCAGAGUCGUUACAUGGGACCUUGGUGCAACUAUUGAGAAUUAAGCCGGAUCUGAUUGGUGAGGAACUAAUGUCGACUUUGGAUUGGAAAAAGAAGGUCCUAAGAAUUAAGACAGAGUAAGUAGUAAAAGCUUUGUGAAGGAAAUCAUUCAGUAGAAAAUUGUGUGGGAGAAAGAGAAUCGGAUGAGAGAGAUUUAUCCGAGGCUAUUGUAUGAGUAUAGAUGAUUUAGUUGGUUGCUGGAAUUUCGGGGACGAAAUUCUAUAAGGAGGGAAGAUUGUCACAGCCCGUUCCAAAAUAUUACAUUCGUGGCUGUGAAUGGACGAAAUUGCCCUUAUGAAAUACUAAGUAUGUGAAGCUCAAGUUGAUAAUUAUCUAGGUUCCUAAGUUUUGAAAAUAAAAUGGAAUUUAAUAAGGAUGAAACUUAGAUUUUUUAGGUUAAAAUUGUGUGGUUUGGAGUUGGGGAUUGGAAAAGGACCACAUGGGAUCCCCACACCCCUCAAUCCUCUCCCUAUUUUCUGCAUACUGUCUCUCUCUCUCCUCCCUCACGAAUCUCUCUCUCUCUCUGUCACUCUUCUUCUCCGUUCGAACAAACCAACCACAAAACAACCUUAAACUUCCACCAACGACGGAGUUAAGACCACCAUCAAACUCUUGGAACCUCCACGAUCACGAUGGUAUCCAUUUCAGGUAAGUUUUGCUUCGGAAAACCCUAGUUUUCAAAGUACCCGUGAAAUGGCACUGUUCAUAAACUCUUAAAUGGUGGUGUUUUAGCUUAAAACAAGAUCACAGUGAGCUUUAGGAUGUCCCAAGGAAGCUCGGAGUGCUUCGUUGGAAGUUUUCGGACGUAAGAACACGGAGAUCGACAAGUUCAAAGUUUGGCCGGAGCUUUCGAGGCGUUUUCCGGCGAAUCCCCGGCGAUUUAGGAGUCGAGGUAGGUAUUAAUCUCUUCGUCUCAUCAAGUACUACAACUUUCCUUUUUGUUUCACUCAAUUUCGUUGAGUAUUGAAGAAGUUAUACUCAUUUGAAAAAUACCCAGUUUCCGGCGACCUCCGAGGCUUUCGAGGCAGUUUCCGGCCAAACCACGGCGAACUAGGUAUUGUGCAAGGUACCAUUCUCUUUGUCUCUUCAAGGGCUACAACUUUCGUUUUUGAAUCACUUGAUUUCGUUGAGAAAUGACAAAGUUAUGGCAAUUUGAAAAACUGCCCAGAAAACGGCCGCCGGAAAAACCAGUCCGGCGACCCAAGGAAGAAGAAGGUGCUACAGUAAAAAAAAAUAAAAAUAAAAUUAUUUUAAAAAUAUGUCGACGUCCGUGACGUCGAGUAGAUCACUGUGGUAUAUUCAUAUACCUAAAUUGAACACCGUAUGAGAAAGUUAUUGAAGAUUGUUGGUUAGGUGUUCAAAUAACGUUUUAUAGUUUUCACAUUUAGGUGAAAAUGUGAAUUGAUGAUCCGACCGUUGGAUCAUCACCAAAAUUUGAUACGUUAUAGUACGUAAUAUUUGAGGAUUAUUGGAACUUACGGAUUGGGAAUCCGAGUUACGGAUCUUCCGGAAUUGGAAUUGUAAGUCCAUAAUAUAAAAUGUUAACCGUCACUUAGUUUUGGAAAUUGACGGAGAUCCGACCGUUGGAUGGUAAUGAAAUUUUAGGAUGUUAUCCUAGAGAUAUAUUGUGGACCUCUGGAAGUUAUGGAUUUAAAAUCUGAGUGGCAGAUCUUCCGGAUCGAUCAACAUAGUGACGUAUUUUAUAUAAGUUAUAUUCUAUCGAUAUGAAUUCUGAGGUUGGAAUUAAUUAUUGUUUUAGGCGCCGAUCGUCAUGACGCCUUGAUGUGUGGUGCUAGGGAGUUGUAGGGCGAACUCCAGGUGAGUGGGCAGUUUUGUUUUCCGUAUAUAUAUAUACUUGACGUUUCCCAGAAAUUGAAUUG
This 5546-nucleotide long non-coding RNA is filed under the name Malus domestica (apple). Its description in RNAcentral is "long non-coding RNA (MDOM_LNC001088)". The record is from RNAcentral. Lineage: Eukaryota; Viridiplantae; Streptophyta; Magnoliopsida; Rosales; Rosaceae.